UACGGAGGAUGCAAGCGUUAUCCGGAAUUAUUGGGCGCAAAGCGUUCGCAGGUGGCUGUGUAAGUCUGCUGUCAAAGAGCAAAGCUCAACUUUGUAAAGGCAGUGGAAACUACACGGCUAGAGUGCGUUCGGGGCAGAGGGAAUUCCUGGUGUAGCGGUGAAAUGCGUAGAGAUCAGGAAGAACACCGGUGGCGAAGGCGCUCUGCUAGGCCGCAACUGACACUGAGGGACGAAAGCUAGGGGAGCGAACGGG
RNAcentral lists this ribosomal RNA (253 nucleotides) under uncultured bacterium. RNAcentral's name for it is "partial 16S ribosomal RNA". It matches the Rfam family "Bacterial small subunit ribosomal RNA", at positions 524 to 776 of the family's 1533-position model. The record is from RNAcentral.